RNAcentral lists this long non-coding RNA (25825 nucleotides) under Medicago truncatula (barrel medic). RNAcentral describes it as "long non-coding RNA (MTRU_LNC003864)". The record is from RNAcentral. Lineage: Eukaryota; Viridiplantae; Streptophyta; Magnoliopsida; Fabales; Fabaceae.
CGUGAAUAGUGAAUUCAUGUUUGAUUCUCUGUCAACAAAAUUGAUUUUGACUGAAUUGAUUCGUUAACUGACUUAUGUUUGAAUACAUUUAUGUAAAAGUCAACAACAAAUUUUAGUGUAAUAGAAUCAAAACCUUCAAUUAUUAGCUUUAAGUUUGAAUCAAUUCUGUAUGCAAAAUCAAUUGUAAUAGAGAGCAUAAAUCAAUUCCACAGGCUCUAGAAUCAAUUUUGACCCCUCCAAAAGUGCAACUGAACAUUUUGGUGAGUAUUAUACAAGGGUAAAGAGUCAUUUUGAUCCCUCAGUAUAAGGCACUGUCACUAUAGUCCCUAAAUGUAUAAAAAUCGGAAACACAUCCCUAUUGCUUCUUUUGUUUGUAAUUUUACAGUCUAAAUUUACCAAUGGAAAACACAUUUGAAGACUAAACUAAAUACCUUAAACCAGAUUCGAGGACCAAAAUAACUGAUAAAAGAGACAUUUGUGGAUGUAUUUGCAAUUUCGAUACAUUCUAGGACUAUAGUGACAACGCCUCACACAUUUAAGUACCAAAGUGCAUGUAUACCCUAUUAUAUUAUUCACUAAAUUUUUAAUUCUUCAUGAGUAGUUUACAUUACAUCAAUUUCCAAUAUUAAUCAAUACUAUUUAUAUGCAUGUUUCUCUCGGUCUCUUUGUGUACACCAAUUUAAAGAAGAAAGUUGUAAAACUGUCUUUGGGGGGCUCAUUUACAAUCAACCGGAUUGGUUCGCUACCGGUGUAAAGCUAAGAAUGUGGAAUUUGUUGAUAGUUAAUAUUUAGAGCGAUUCUUGGUUAUGCUCGGAGCCGCUUAUGCAGAUUUUUCUGCGCUUGUACGCAGUGGCAGGAGAUAAAGAUUGUACUGUGGCUGAAGCUAGUGCUGGUCUGGUGGUGUUUAGAGUUGGGAACUGUCAUGGCGCCGACCUGUGUUCAGUUGGGAAGAGCAGACUUAUGCAGAAUUGCUGGAACUGUUGACUGGUAUUUACCCAAACAGAGGGGCUAAGGAUUCGUUGAUCUGAAAGUGUGAUGCGGUUGGAUGACACACUGUCAGGAGUCAGGACGGGAUACUUUCUGCAGCAGCAGUCUUUCCAAAAUACAGCAAUUGACCAUGAUCUUAGCAAGGCUUUGAGGUAAAUCUGGAGUAGUGGUGUUCCAUCGAAGAUCGACCUUGUGCGAAGGCUGCUUAUUGACAGAUUACCUACAAGGAUCACUCUGGUGCGAAGAGGUUUGCUAGAUUAAACGAGGAAAAGCAGUUCUGUUUUUUGUUUUCGACAUGACAAAACCUCACAGCACCUAUUUUUUGAGUGUUCCUUAUCUUGUAGGGCGUGUUCAACAGUCACCUUAAUGCACUUUAUGUAUUCAGAGCGAUGAUAAGAAAAAGCUGAAGAAAAAACGUUUCUUAAUUUGGCACUACGAUUUGGUGCAUAUGGGUGAGGCGAAAUAAGAUUAUUUUCAAAAGAGGAGUGGCAGAUGUUCUAGAAUUAUUGAAUCAUAUUAUAAUGGUGUCUUUGAGUUGGGUGGUUGCUCACAGUGCAGGAAGGUUGGGUUUCAAUUUUGUAGACUGGUUUAAUAACCCUUUAGUUUGUCUUGGUUGCAUUGUCUAGCUUUAUAACCCUCUAGUUUGUAACGUGGAGUACCCCUUGUACACCUAUUAAUGGCACUUUGCUUCUAAAAAAAAAACAGAGAGAAGAAAAUUGUAAUAAUAUCCAUAAUUAAUAUUCUCUGUCUAUGAGGUGUAGCUUCGUGGAGGAGCUUGAUCUUAUAACCUCAAGGGAUAUAGUUGCCAUUUGUAUCACUUUAAUUAAUAAUAAAAAUAGCAUUUGCCUCCACCUUUCUCUUGCUUCUAAUUAUUUUAGCUUCUUUUUGUUUUUUGGUUGCAUUUUUGUAAGAUUUCUUGAACUCAAUAUCUCUGAAUUUGUUUGAUUAAGUGCUUAUUUUGCUAUUGAUAUUUCGGUUCUGAAUUAUGAUCCAAUACAAUAUUUGACAGAGCAUCAAGAAGCUGAUUUGAAAUUUAGAGAGAGAGAGAGAGAGAUAGAUUUGAAAGCUGAAAAUGACAAUCGGAGCUCUUGCACCUGAUGCUCUUGUAGCUAAUGCAAACCCAAGGAAGAAAAAGGAAGUUGUUGAUGAAAAUGCACCUUUGUUACCUAUGUGUCAAGAAACAGAUGCUGAGUUUCAUGAAUUCAAUGGAGCUUCAUUUCCUGGGGCUGUUUUCAAUUUGUCCACCACAGUUAUUGGUGCUGGGAUCAUGGGCUUGCCCGCUUGCGUCAAAAAGUUGGGAAUGGUACCUGGUCUUCUUGCCAUAAUCCUAACAGCAUUAUUGACAGAGAAGGCAAUUGAGUUCAUGAUCAGGUUUUCGAGAGCAGGGAAUCUUUCUUCCUAUGGAAGUCUUAUGGGAGAUACCUUUGGGAAAUACGGAAAAGCACUGGUAGAGAUAUGUGUUAUAAUCACUAACGUUGGUAUUCUGAUUGUUUACAUGAUCAUUAUUGGUGAGACCUUAUUCUUAAGUCUAGCACUGAAAAUUUGUAUGUCUGGACUUUUACUGUUAUGACCAGUUUCUGUUUUAGUUGAUUACUCACCCAUUUAUCUGUUUAGACGAGAACUUAAGGUUGCAUGAUUCAGUUUGGUUUUGUUUGUAUUGUAGGUGAUGUGAUUUCUGGAACGACUUCAGGUGGAAUUCACCAUCCUGGUAUCCUUGAAGGAUGGUUUGGUGUCCAUUGGUGGACUGGGCGCACAUUUGUUGUUGUUUUUACAACACUUGCUGUGUUUGGACCUUUGGUCAGCUUAAAGCGAAUUGGUGAGUGUGUAUACUUUUCUUGCAUUAUUUGAUGUGAAAAAUAGAAAUAUAUUGUUGUGUCACUUAGAUUAGAUGACAAUGUAAGGAAGAUGACUCAAACACUGGAUGGUAUGGAUGAAAGUUUCCAUUUCUUUUUAAUGGUCACAAGAUCAAUAAACAAUUUGUUGAUUCCAUCUGUCCCAAACUGUGUGAAGAAAACUAGAGAUGCAAUAUGGAAGAGAUUUCAUUCUGUUCCAUCCUAUUUUUUAUGACCAAACAAUUACAAGUUUGACAAUCUAUUACUUUUAAACUUCAAACAUGUUGCAAUUUGAUACCAACAAAUUAAAAAAAAAAAUGGAAAUUCAAAAUGCAUAUACUCGGUAUUCAACAUUCUAUUGCUUUGAUACAUGUUGCAUUUUCAUACCAACAAAUUGAAUCCUUUAUGCAAUGUUAUAUUCAGGUUAUGUGAUAGGAGGAUGGUAGUUGUCUAACCACUGAUAUAGUUAGGAUCAUCCUCUAAAACCUAUGUUGCAUGAGUACUCUAAACUCUCGAGUGCAAAUUGGUCUAGUAUAAAAUCAAGUUUUGUUGCUAAGUUGUUUGGUUUGUUACCAAAUGAAAUAAAUUGCUACUUCACCCCCUUUCAUAUUUUUGCCCAAGUGAAUUAGAACAUUAGAUUUAUAUUAUCAUUUUAAUACUUGCUUUUAUGUUUUUGUACCUUGGUUUUACGUGUUUUCUGGUACACCUGUACACUGCCGGUAUCAAUACCAUUGCUCAACUAUGUCCAUGCAACACUUCUUUAACAAAUUUAGCUGCAUUAUAUGUGGUUGUUGCAGAUUCAUUGAGAUUCACAUCUGCAUUAUCAAUUGGAUUAGCAGUUCUUUUUCUCGUCAUUGCUGGGGGGAUCUCAAUUAUCAAGAUUAUUAGUGGACGCAUUGGGAUGCCCAGACUCUUCCCUGUCAUUACUGAUGUAGAUUCUGUUUUUGAUCUAUUCACUGUAUUUCCUGUGCUGAUGACAGCUUAUAUCUGUCACUACAAUGGUAUGAAAUUGUUUGAAACCUUUGCUUAAUAAUCGAUUCCCUUGUUUUAAUGUUUUUACUCAGAAUUGACUUGUGAAUUUCUAAGUUUCUUAUGGAUUUGCAUGAAGAAGGUUGAGGUCUUCUGACUACUUAUUCCAAAACCAUCACUUCAUUCCAUUUCCAACUAAUUUGCAAAGAAACCAUGCAUGUCAACUUUUUAUAUGCUAUAAUGAUAUUGAUUCCUUUGCACUGCAUUAGUCUCUUUUAUGAAAAAAUAAUUAUUUUAUGAGCUAAAAAAAUUGAAAUUCAGCUUAUUUUAGUUAAUUUCUGGUUAUGCACCAUUAGUUGGAACUGGGAAGACUAAAAUUUGUUUACUUCAUGGAUGUAUUGUCUGAUUUUUGCAUUAAUUUUUGUGUGUUCUUUAUUUGCAGUUCAUAACAUUGAUAAUGAACUGGAGGAUUCCUCACGGAUGCGUGGGGUUGUGCGUACUUCCCUUACUCUAUGCUCUUCAGUAUAUGUACUGACAAGCUUCUUUGGGUUCCUUCUAUUUGGUGAAGGAACUCUUGAUGAUGUGCUUGCCAAUUUUGAUACUGAUUUUGGAAUUCCUUUUGGUUCUGCUCUUAAUGAUGCUGUUCGUUUUAGCUAUGUUGCGCAUCUUGUGCUUGUAUUUCCUGUAGUUUUCUAUGCAUUGAGGGUCAACAUAGAUGGUCUCAUAUUUUCCUCUUCGAGAAGGCCUUUGGUUGUUGAUAACUUCAGAUUUGCAUCAAUUACUAUUGCCCUUGUUGGCACUAUCUUCCUCGGGGCAAAUUUCAUACCUAGCAUUUGGGUUAUUUUCCAGUUCUCUGGAGCAACAGGUGCUGUUUGUAUAGCAUUCAUAUUUCCAGCUGCAAUCACUUUGAGGUGAGUCUGGUCACUGAACUCAUUUAGUUCUGUAAUGGAUUUUUUGGUGGUUUUACUGUUUGCUUUAGAUAUUUAGUGGAAGAGAAGUAAAAAAAAAUUGAAACAUGGUUAUAUAAUCGAGAUUCACAAGGACGACCGAUUUUCUGAAUCAUGUAUGGAAUCUUAUUAUUAAUUGUAAGAUACAUUAGCAAUAAAAAUAUGACAUUUUAAGUAAAUACAAGCAACAUAGCAAACUUAUAAACUAAUAUUUCAUCUACUAAUCUCAAAAUAAUGUAAGAUUCAACUCAUAAAUCAAAUGAUAAAAAAGUGGCUGUUUAUACAUAGUUGUCAGAAAAGAAGUGGCUGGCUAUUCUGAGUUUAGGUAGUGAUUCAUUCUAAUGAAUCAGGACUCAUCAUAAUGAAUCGGACUCAAGAUGAGAUUCAUUUCCAAUAUAGAUAUAGAUAUACAAUAAAGAUUCGUAUCAAAUGGAUUUAAUUUUGUAUCAAAUCAAAAUACGACUCUAUGGAUAGAAAUAAAAGUUUGAUUGAUUUACGUCAUUAUAGGAUUUUGUUCUUUAACUUGCAUCGAGACAAAAUACCUAAAUAAGCAUUCAUGAAGGACGGCAUUAACCUAGUUUAUUUGGUAAAUACUAACUGGAUUUCUAAUUAUCAGAAUCCAUUAUAUAGAAAAACUGCAGAAAAUGGUGAUAGUUGCCUUGUACCAUGUGACACAUCAGCCGCAACAUUGAUUAAAUACCUUUAACGCCCCUCAGACGAAGUUUUCUACGACAUUGAGAUGGCCAUUGACAUAUGGUAGCAGCAUAGAAGGCAGAGAGCAAACCCUAAGGCAAAACCCUAUCAGAGCCCUUUUUCUCUUCCAGGAGGAGGGCCCCCCCCCCACAAUAUUUUAUUUCAAGAAUUCUAAGAUACUUAUCAUUCUCUUAAGUAGUUUUAUAGACGGUUCUCUGUUCAUGCUUUUGCAUAUGAUUAUUCAACUCAACAAUUAUCAUUAAGCAUUUUCUUUUCCUACAGGGAUCGAUACAACAUAGCAACUAAAAAAGACAAGAUUAUGUCUGUCCUUAUGAUAGUGAUGGCGGUUUUUUCAAAUGCUGUGGCUAUAUACAGUGAUGUUUCUGCUUUGAUCAACAAGAAGGAAACUUAAUGUGAGCGAUUCCUUGAUUUGAUAGCUCACAGUACAAGUAUUUCCAUACUUUCAGAUGAAAGGAACAUAAUUUCUGAUGGUUGUAUAAAAUUAUUUUUUUGUGAGGGUCUGAUAGGUUGAUUAAUAUAAACAAAGCUACCAUAUGUGCAUAUAUUCUUCAAAACUGUGUGAUGGCCUGCAACAUGUUCAACGUUGGUUAUAACAGAGUAGAGUUAUAACAUCACAAAUCCGAAGCUGUAUACGGACAUGGUAUGAAAACAAACUCAACCCAACUGUCGACAUGAUUAAAAAAUAAAUGAAAAACACAAUGCUAUAUUUAUCCGACUCCGACUACAUAUUUGUUGCCAAAAUAUCAUAUUUCUUUUGUAACAUGCAAAAGCAUCCCAGAAUAUAGGAUGCAUGUUACUAAAGGGAUGUGCCGGUGGUUGUGAAAGAAUGGUCAAGUUCAAGCAGUUUUGGACAAGACAAAUAAAUUGAAUUAUGGAUUUGAACAUGUGUGGCUUGUUAAUAGAUUGUUUUCUAAAUUUUCCUUGUAAUUGAACUGUUGAUGCACUUCAUAGUAUGGCACAAUUAUAUAUGUUUUCGUUGAUUGGUUGUAAGAAGAGGUUGAAAAGAGAGAAAUAUGUGAAAAUGUAGUAGUUUUGACAUAAAGUGUGGUAUAAGAGAAAGAGGAGAGAAGAAAUAGAAGUGAAUCGAAAGUGAGAAGAGAGUUCACAAAAAUGCUGAAAUUGAUAGGUUGGACACCGUUGGUUUGAACUCUGACUUCUCCUAUUUGUGUGUGAGUUUUUAGUAGAUGUUGUCAUUUUGUCUAGUUAACAAAAGUGACUAGAAAAUUAUAAUUAUAGUUGAAAAGACUUAACUGUCCUUAAUAUUAAACAAUCAACAUACAAUUAUUUUAUAUUUCUUAAUUGAUUCGCUUUGAAUAGUUUGGUAUGUUAAAUUAAUUUUAAAAAAGAACAGCUUUAUCGUAUAAUUAACUUUUAUAUAAAAUAUGUAUUUUUCUUAAUAAAAUAUAAUAUAUUUAAUUUUCUAGUUUUUCGUUUUAAAUAAAUACAACAAUCUUUUCAACAUAAAAUAUAAACAUAAAAUAAUUAAAAAGUCAAAUAUAUUUCUCUACUUCUAUCUUUUCAACCCUUUACUUUCAAUGCCUCUCUUAUGUUUUUUAUGGGACAUAUAUAUAACCAUAACUACAUCCUUCUAUAAAAAAUCCUAUUUUUUAGUACAAAAAUUAUUAUCUACUUUCUAAUUCAAAAUUCAAUGAAAAUAAAAAAUGCAACUGUCCAAACCGCUAUCCUUUAACUUUAAAGAGUUUUGUCAUUUAUUACUAUUCUAUUAGGUUCAAGCGACUAGUUUCGACAGUUGUAUGUAGAAGGUAUUGAUUCACGCAAUAAAAUAAGUUAUCCUUUGACAAAGUUAUCUAUAAAAAAACAUUCCAUUGCAUAAUUGAGAAGGUAUUAUAUUAAUGCGUAUUUCUUUUUUAUUAUAUUUAAUUGACUCACACCAACCAAUGAUAACAACAAAUUAUUGUCUUUUGUCUUCUUUCAUCACUACCACUCAUUUUCUCUUGCUUCUAAUAUAAUAUCUUGGUUUCAUUGGCUUCUAAAUCUAAUACAGUAUUUGGUUUUAUUGACCUUUAAUGUGUAUCAAAGGUUGCUAUAAAGUUUUGAAUAUAUUUUUCAAGCUGAAAAACGGGUUUAUUCAAAAAAUAAAAAAGGAUACUGCAUGAAAAGUGAAAAUGACUAUUGGAAUUCAUGCACCUAACUUAGAGAAGAAAAAAUCAAGGAAGAACAAGACAACUAUUGAUGUAAAUGCACCUUUGUUACCUAAGACACAGGAAAGUGAUGUUAAGUUUGAUGAAUUUAAUGGAGCUUCAUUUUCUGGUGCUGUUUUCAAUUUAUCAACCACAAUUAUUGGUGCUGGAAUUAUGGGAUUGCCUGCAUGUGUGAAAAAGUUAGGGAUGGUGCCUGGUCUUAUUGUCAUAGUCCUAACAGCUUUAUUGACAGAGAAGUCAAUUGAUUUCAUAAUCAGGUUUUCUAGGGCAGGGAAACUUUCUUCCUAUGGAAAUCUUAUGGGAGAUGCCUAUGGGAAAUACGGAAAAGCGUCGUUGGAGAUAUGUGUUUUAACUACCAUCGGUAGUCUGAUCAUGUACAUGAUCAUUAUUGGUGAGACCAUAUUCUUAAGUCUAGACUUUUACUGUUAUCAUUAGAGAAGAAUUUAAGGUUGUAUAAUUCAAUUUUGUUUUUGUUCAUAUUGUAGGUGAUGUGAUUUCUGGAACAACUUCAAGUGGAAUUCACCAUGCUGGUGUCCUUGAAGGAUGGUUUGGUGUCCAUUGGUGGACCGGGCGUACAUUUGUUAUUACCUUCGCAACAUUUGUUGUGGUUGCACCUUUGGUCAGCUUUAAGCGGAUUGGUGAGUGAUAUUUCUUUUCUUGUAUUAAUUGGUUUGCAUAUAGAAACAUAUAGUUGUGUCAUUUACCGAAAUGGCUAUAGAUUAGAUGACCAUGUUAGGAAGAUGACUCAAAUGCGGGACGGUAAUUGUAUGGAUGAAAGUUUCCAUUUCAUCGUUUGUAAACUAAAAAAAAUGGUAAACAAGAUCAAUAAACAACUAGGUGGUACACAUGGUUAUUUGGAAUUGAUGCUUAUUUGAUACACAUGAUUAUUUGCCAAUACUCACUUUUUUCACUCAAGUACAAAUUGGUCUAUCUAUGAAAUCAAGUUUUGUUGCGAUGUUAUUUGGUUUGUGUCCAUGUAACACUUCUAUGACAAAUUUAGCUGUAUUCUCUGUGAUUAUUGCAGAUUCAUUGAGAUUCACGUCUGCAUUGUCAAUUGGAUUAGCAGUUCUUUUCCUUAUCAUUGCCGUAGGGAUCUCAAUUAUCAAGAUUAUUAGCGGCGGCAUUGGGAUGCCAAGACUCUUCCCGGUCAUUACUGAUGCAGCUUCAGUUUUCGAUCUAUUCACUGUAGUUCCUGUGCUGAUGACAGCAUAUGUAUGUCACUACAAUGGUAUCGAAUAGUUUGAAACCUUUCUCUUAAUGUUUUUAUUUCUCUCAGUAGACUUGUAUAAUUAUAAGUUGGUUAUGGAUUUGCAUGAAGAAGAUUAAGGUCUUCUGACUACUUAUUCCAUAAGCAUCACCUCAUUCUAUGUCCAACUAAUCUGAAAAGUAAGCAUACGUGUCAAUUUUUUAUGAGCUACAAAAUUGAUUUUCAGAUUAUUUUGGUUAAUUUCUGGUUGUGCAUCAUUAAUGAGUCAAAACACGGAACACUAAGGAAGUGUUUUUAUAUACUUGGUUGUUCAUUCUAUGUUACCAACACGACGAUUGAUAGUAUAAAUUUUUGGUUUAGGCUUGGUUUCUUAAUGUGGUUGUAUAAUCCACAAGCUGAUUCCACGUACUAAUAAACAUCGGCAACUAUUGCAAAAGUUUCGGUUAUGUGGGAGGAUGACAUCAAUGCAGUUAGCUAUAUAGAUCCACUUGUUUGCUUCAUAGAUUUAUUAUAUGGUGAUUACAGUGUGUGCUCUUUGUUUUCAGUUCAAAGCAUAGAGAAUGAACUGGAGGAUUCCUCACGGAUACGUGGGGUUGUGCGUACUUCCCUUACUCUAUGCUCUUCGGUGUACUUACUGACAAGCUUCUUUGGGUUCCUUCUAUUUGGUGAAGGAGUUCUUGAUGAUGUUCUUGCCAAUUUUGAUACUGAUCUUGGAAUUCCCUUCGGUUUUGCGCUCAAUGAUGCUGUUCGUUUGAGCUAUGCUGCGCAUCUUGUGCUUGUAUUUCCUGUAAUUUUCUAUGCGUUGAGGCUCAACGUAGAUGGUCUGAUAUUUUCCUCAUCAAGAAGGCCUUUGGUUGUUGAUAACUUAAGAUUUUCAUCAGUUACUAUUGCCUUUGUUCUUAUUAUCUUCCUCGGAGCAAAUUUCAUACCGAACAUUUGGGUUAUUUUCCAGUUCACUGGAGCAACAGGUGCUGUCUGUAUAGCAUUCAUAUUUCCAGCUGCAAUCGCUCUGAGGUGAGUUUGGUCACUGAAUUCAUUUAGUUCUGUAAAUAUGAUUAAUCAACUCAAAAGUUAUCAUUAAGCAUUUUCUUUUCCUGUAGGGAUCGAUACAACAUAGCAACUAAAACAGAUACGAUUCUGGCUAUCCUUAUGAUAGUGCUAGCGGUUUUGUCAAAUGCUGUGGCGAUAUACAGUGAUGCUUAUGCUUUGAUCAACGAGAAGAAAGCAUAAUGUGAGUGAUUUCUUGAUUUGAUAGCUUACAAUACAUAUAUUUCCAAACUUUCAGAUUAAAGGAACAUAGCUACCAUGUGUACAAAUAUUCUUCAAAAGUGUGUGAAGGCCUGCAACAUGUUCAACCUUGUUUAUAAUAGAGUAGGGAUAUUUGAACAUCGCAAGUCUGAUGCCGUAUAUGGAUGUGGUAUGUAAACACGCUCAACUCAACUGCCGACAUGACUGAGCGAAAGAAAAUAAAUAAAAAUACCAAAUUGUAUAUUUAUAAUAUACGGUGUCCGACACCAUAUUUGUUGUCAAUAUUUAAUUCUCUUGUAAUAUGAUCUUUAUUGUUGUAAAUGUAGAGGUUCUUAUUGAAUGUGCCUCCAUUUCCCAGACUUCAUAUCCUUUAUAACUGCAAGUGAGGUAUUUGCUGGCACUUGUAUACAUUAUUAUUUGUUGGGUUUCAUCACAAAAAGAAAUUGAAUAAUGGAUAUGAAAAUGAAUGACUUGUUAAUGGUUUGCUUUCUAAAUUUUCCUUGAAAUUGAACUUUUGGUGCACUUUUCUAAAUUAUACUUAUGUAAUCAAAAUCAAGUGUUUAGUUGAAUAUAUAGUACCUUAUAGUGCCUGAUGGUGUUGCAGAGGGGACAAAAAAGAGAAAACUUUUCAUAUUCAUUGUGCCCAUCUAUGAAGCAUAGUCACUCCUCGGAUUGGGCGUGUCCCGAUGUCGGAAAUGUGUCGUGUCCGACACCGACACGACACCCACAUUUGUAAUUACACUGAAUUAUGUGAUUUUUUCAAAUUAUUAACUGUGUCGACGUGUCCGUGUCAUGUCCGGUGUCCGUGUCCGUAUCUGUGCUUCAUAGGUGCCCAUUUUCUUACGGUAAACCACGUACAUAGGUUCAGCAUUGAGCAUGAGAUUGCAUUUGAUUAUUAGGACUAAAAAAAAUCUGGCGACCAAAACCAAAGUAUGCACAAAUUUACUUUUAACACAUCAACAACCCAUACACUCCUCAAAUCCUCUAGAACUACAAAGCUAAAUGCAUAAUAGCCAUUUCCUAUAGUGAUCAUCUUCGAUUGUGACAAAGGAUUUAAUAGCAUAGCCUGUAUAACUUAGCUCGCAGGUCACUAGUUUUUGAUAGGUAAAUCUACUUUGGGGAGCAAUAUGCAAUGAAUUUCUUUUGAAACCUUCAAUAACUCUUUCCUACUCUUCUUCAAAAAACUUGAUUGCAAUUGUUGACAUGAUAAGUGAGAUUUAGAAGUCUUACUUUGGAUGAGAAAGUAGAUAUUGAGCAACAUAUAAGUUAAGGAACCGAUAUACCUAAUUUCUUGAGGUUUUUGGUGAAGAUAUGAUGUCAAAACUUACUUGUGUGGUUAUUCUUACUUCAACGUAAUGACUCACUCCAAUGUUUUAAGGCUCUCUUGGAACUCCCAAGAGUGGUAUCAAAGUCUGGUUCACCUUAAUGAAGGAGUAGGAGUUGUUCUUGGUCUUGAAUAAAGGAUGCGGAGAAUCUCACACUUGAAGGAGAUAACUGUCGAUGGUACAUAAUAAAUAUAAAUUUUGAACUCAACCUAUCCUGAUGAAAUUUGAUUGGAUUGACUAACAUGUUUGAUCAAAACUGAUCCAAACCACCCAUAAAACACCACUUACAUGAGAUGGUAGUUCACAAGACCUGGGCAGCCAUAUGCUUUUAAUGACAUAAAAUGAACAAAAUAAUUAGUAUAAGAUUUGUUUGGUGAUGACACAUUCAGCACGUGACUGGAAUUAGAAUUUUUUAUGAACUUCAAAGCACACAAUUGCAUUAGGAACCAUAACUUCCUAGUAUAGGACAUGGUGUAAAAGGUUAGGUGAAGAAUCGGGGAGAGUAAAUCAACUCCCUUAUACAUGAAAUAUUGUCACAUCUAGUUGUAGUAAAUGAACUUCCCAUAUGGUUAAUGAUUAAGAAUAGUAAAAGAAUCACAGAUUCACUAUCUUUAAUUGCAUCAAUCCUCUAGAAAAAAAUAUAUUGUGUUUGCAUAUUUUGAUUAUAGGUGGUCUUGAAAAUAUCGCUCUUAACAUGUUGACAAAUCAUUUGAAAUUUUGAUAGAAUGUCGAAUUUGACAUUUUUUUUGGAGAAUGUUGAAUUCGCUGAUAACCAUAAUAAGCAUCUUGCUCCAAAGAUAAUUGAAGGACAUUUCAUCAAACACAUAUCACAAAUUUAUAAGAGUGCACAGUCAGGAACUAAUUUGGAAUUUUGAUAAUCACAAUAAGUAUUAAGGGAAUAUUGAAGGACUUAUUAACGAAAUAUUUUAAUGAGAUAAACUAUUUUGAUUAAAAGAGAGCACAAUCACAAACUAAUUUAAAAUUUUGAUACAUUCAAAUAUUAUUAUGACCGCCCGUUACACAUAUCGAGAUCAAAAUGACUAUUAUCUUCGUAAAAAAAACAAAAGGUUGUGGCAUAAUAUAUAUACCCCUUUUUAGGAACCUAUCUAUACAUAUAUUCUAUUAUCUUAUAUACUUAUCUAUACAUAUAUAUCUAUAAUAUUAUUAUAUAUAUAAACUAGAUGGAGGAUUUUGGGUUGUAUUUUGAAAAUUGUUGUUGACGCUGUAACACACCUGUAAAUGACUAAAAUGACCAUUCGGUAGUUAACUAUCGAUGCAACGAACUGGUGGUAAUUAACUGUUGAUGUAAUGAACCGGCGGUAGUUAACUACCGAGGUUCCAUCGGCAAUUAACUGCCGAUGCUCUGUUAUAAGAACAGAACGGCACAUAGGAAUUUCCAAAACUCCAUUGUUGCAGUAUUGAGCUUCAAUGUUGCGAUUUUCUCCAACUUUAAGCCAUUCAACGCCAAUUACAAUCACAAAAUCAAAUAAGUGCUUAUUAUCCUAUUGCAUUGACUUUUUUUUUAUUGAAUUGUUACAUUUUUUUGGAUAAAUUGUCACAUAAUUAGGUUUUGUUGAUUUUUUAUUUUAUGAUGUUAGAUGUUUAUGAUUUGAUUGAAUUGUGUGAUGUUGAUUCGAGUAGAAAUUGUUGAUUAGAGUUGAAUUUAAUGAAUUGUUGUAGAAUUGCUAGGAAUUAUUUGAAAUUCUUAGGAAUUUUGUGGUAGAAUUUUUAGGAUUAGUGUAGGUUUUGAUCUCCGAUACGUUACAUUACAUUAUAUUCUUCCUAAAUAUGUGGUAUCAUCCGAUGUUGGGUUUAAAUUAAAUUGUUGAAAGUUUGCGAAAAAUAUCGGCAUUAAAGUGUCUUAUACUAAGUGUAAAGAUUUACAGCACCAUUUGAAAACUCAAAAGAAUGGAUAUAACACAUGUUGCAUUCUACAAAAUGAGUUGUACAAAUUUUCCCAUCAAAUUCCCUCAUAUGAGUAGUGACAAACAAGAAUGCAUUCCAAGAGGUUGUUUUGAACUUAAUCUUACUGACAAAUUUCAAUUGACAGAAGAGCAUGAUCAAGUACAAAACAAUAUCUUAGAGGUGCAUUCCCUUAUGUCACACUCAUCUUAUAUAAAGGAAUCUGGUGAAAAAAUUUGUACAACCAUUAGGUAGAAUACAACAUAUGUUUUAUCUAUUCUUUUGACUUUUCAACUAGGCUUGCGAAUCCUUACAUUCAGUAUAAGACACUUCAAUACCAACAUCUUCCGCAAAUUAACAAGAAUUAAACUUAAAUUCCAACAAAAUAAGACACUACAUAAUAAUGAUGCUACCUAAACAUAAUCUUAUGGUAGAAUCAAACUCUUGAGAAUAUCUUCAGGCGAUCUCAGCAAUGUAGCUUCCAUCUCAAUCCUCGGGAACAUGCGUUCCUGAUAAUAUUUGGAGAACAUGCUCCUCGCGUAAUCAUGAUCUGUCAGCAUUAUCUUUUCGGUCUGCAAACAACCGGGACGUGUAUACUGAAGGUUCUCCACCAUCAUUCUGUCUUCGGGGUUGUGUCCUUUAUUGAUUUCGUUCAGUUGAUCCUUCAGAUCCUUUAGCGUGACAUCGACUCGAACCUUGAACAAAUGAGGGUUUCUACCGUUGAAACGUACUUGAGCUUUGAACAAAUUGUCCGUUGUUUCAGAUCUACACCAUAAGAAAUUAAAUAAUCUAUGAAAAACUCAUUCAAACAUUUCAUCAAACACUUGAAGUACAAAUUAUACACAAACCCUAAAACUUAAAACUACAACAUAAACAUGCAAACAUACUUAAUCAACUUAAAUCUACUCUAAAAAUGAUUCAUAAUAUCUUACUUGCAAACAUUUAAUUCAUUUUUUUUUUUUACAAAAAACAACAAAAAUUAAAUCAACCUAAAACUAAAAUUAUAUAUAAAAAAACAAUUAUAACAACUAAAAUGUAUAAUAGCACUAAGAUUUUGUCGAAUAAAUUUGGAUGAGAUUUUAGAGAGCUGUUGAGAGAUUGAGUCGAGAGUGAUAAUAGAUGCGAGAGUAAUGGUUCCUCCUGAAAUUUGUAGCAGAAAUCGCAUCGAUAGUUAACUACCGAUGGACUCCGCGAUAGUUAACAAGAAUGAGGGGCAAUAAUUGUUCAACCGCGGUAGUUAACCGCUGGUUAGUUCCUUCGACAUUGUUUUAAGUGUGGACAACAAUUUUCUUGUAUUUUUCAUUAUUUCAAUUACUCUCCUAAACAAAGUUUCCUAUAAAAAUAUAGAAACAUUAUAAUGUAAAUCUUUAUUAUUGUGAUAUUAAAAAAUAUAGGGUUAAAUAUGUUUUUAGUCCUUAUAUUUUGCACCCCUUUGAAGAAUAGUCCCUACAUUUCAUUAAAUGUUUUUAAAAUCCCCACAUUUUAUUUCCGUUAUUAAAAUUAGUCCAUGUUGUUAAUUCUCUAACGGAAUGCUGAUGUGACAAUUAGCGUGUCUCAAUUAUUUUAGGGUUAAAUAUGUUUUUGGUCCCUAUAAAAUUGAGAACUUCUAAGUUUAGUUCUUACUUAAUUUUAAUAGGUUUUUUAGUCCGUACAAAAAAAAAAUUACUUCUAAUUUUAGUCCCUGUUACAACAAAGUUUGUUUAAUUAUCCUUAAACUCUUAAAUUUUUGUACGAUUUUUUUCAGACAAGUUUAGAAUACUAUGAAAGGUUCAUUAACUAAAAUUUAAAAUUUUUUAACAUGAAACGAAUUAAAUAUGAAUUUUUUAAAACGGAAAAAGUUAAAGAUAAAAUUAACAAAAUUUGGAUGUAGAAAUCAAAUUUUGCGACAAUUUUUUGUAGAGGAACUUUUAGUAAUGUUUUUAACACGUCUGCAAAAAAUUGUUCAAAAACUCAAGAGUUUAAGCAUAAAUUAAACAAAUUUAAAUUGAGGAAGGACUAAUACUGAGUGCAGAAAAAAAAAUUAGGGACUAAAAGAAUUAUUAAAAUUAAGUAAGGACUAAACUUUUUUUUUUAGAGAAAGUAAGGACUAAACUUAAAAGGUCCCAAUUUUACAGGGACCAAAAACAUAUUUAACCCAUUAUUUUAAGGUUAAAUAUGUUUUUGGUCCUUACAUUUUACGUGAGAAAUAGUCACUACAUUUUAAUAACUGUUUUUAAAAUCCUAAAAUAAUAAGCCCAAAGAAAAACUUAGAAAAUCAAUUUAGUGUAGUCUAUAGAAAAUAAAUUAAAACAACUUUUAAGCCCAGAGAAAGAAAAAAAGAAAACUCAAAACAACUGGGUCCUUGGGAUAGGGGGAGACAUAAGUUCCUAUAAACUUUGAUAAGGAAAAUUAUAAUAUAUGUGAGAUCGAGGAUCACCAUAUAAAAAAGAUGAGACAUCAAAAUAUAUUGAGUCUCAAAAAUUAAGUUGUCCCAAUAAAAAAUUCUCAUGACUAAAUGUUUGGUUUUAGUUUUCUCAUAGACUAAAUUGAAUCUCACAUUUUUAUCAUGAACUUAAAUGAGUUUCACUUGUGUGUAUGGGAAUAGAACAGUGAACAGAUUAUUUUGAGUUUGAUUUGUAGUGGAAUAUGAGUCCCCAUUUAGAUUCAGUUUUUCAAUCUCCUUCAAGCAGUAGAUUAACUUAUUUUCCUCUAUCUUUUCCCUCGAUCAUUAUUAGUGUUUUGUUUUUUGUUACUUUGUUUAAGCUUUUUAAUAUUCUGACUGCUCCGUUUGUUCUUACAUUGUUUAGCUUGGGUUGGAUAUUAAACAAGUCCCACGUAGGAGGGAACAAAGAAAACUAAUGUGUUUAUAAAUAAUAAAGAGUUUGAUGAGUUUAUGAGUAUUCAUCAUAGACAAUUGUAAAUGUAAAAUGAUGAAUUCCUUUUAUCUUAAUCAUGUUUUGAUAUGUUUUGAUCUUACUAAAAAAAUAACAUUAUUUUUUCGAAUUCCUAUUAACCUAAUCAUUUUUUGAUCUUGCUCCAAAAAUAACAUUAUUUUUUCCACACACAUGUUACACCACAUGUUUUCAUCUUAAUCCAAAAAUAGCAUUAUUUUUUUUACACAUGUAUUACAAAAUGCAUUAAUUAAAAGAAAGGGAGGUGUUAAAAAAAUAAUACUUUAGAAUAGUGUAUAUAGUAUUAAUUGUAAAUGUAAAAUGAUGAAUAAUAAUUAAAAGAAUAGUUAAAUAUGUUUUUAGUCCUCACAUUUUCCACCUCUUUGAAGAAUAGUCCUACAUUUUAAUAAAUGUUUUUAAAAUCUCUAAAAUAAUAAAAAUUAUUAUUCAAAAUCGCGCAAAAUGUUGGGAUCAAAAACAUAUUUAAUCCUAAAAUAAUUGGGAUUCACUAACUGCCACACAUUCCGUUUAAAAAUUAACAACAUGGAACUAAUUUUGAAAACGGAGAUAAAACGUGAGAAUUUUAAAAAUAAAAACAUUUAAUGAAAUGUAGGGUCUAUUUUGUGUAAAAUAUAAAUAAUUAAAAACAUAUUUAAUAAAAAAAUAUAAAUCAAUCAAAUAAGAUAGUAAUAAAAGCUUAAUUUCAUUUUUGUCUGAUUUUCUCCUGUUGGUUCAAUUUCAACCCUAGCCUUACUGUUAUACUUUCUCAUUCUUGUGAAGAGGAAUCGAUUAUAAAGAGAAGCGAUUUUGGUGUAUUCACGAAAUGGGUUUUGAACUUAAAGUGACGAUACAUUGAAAAAGCGAAGAGAUUUCACACUUUCAUAUUCAGAUUCGCUUCAUUCUCCUUGCAGGUUUCGUGGAUUCAAUCAUUGUGAGUUUUGUUUUUGUUAUUUAUUUGUUCCAUUAGUGCUUAUGAAUUCUACUUUGAAAUUUCGCAAAUAGUUUUAAGGCCUUGUUUGGAUGAUCACCUUUAUUUGCAGCUUAUGAAGAAUCUGUUUGGUAAGAUAUACAUUUGAGUCAAUGACUUAUAGCUUAUAAGUUUGUAUGAUUAAAAAAGACACAUUUGGUAACUGUCAUUUGUACACGAACUUCUAACUUAUUUUCAGGAGUUUAUAGCGAUCUUUGAUAAGCUAUUCGAGUAGUUUAUAAAUGAUCACUUGUUAUCUCAAUUUUACCCUUGCAAUCUAAAUUGAAAAAACUAAAUAUUAAUUAAAUGUACAUUUUUUUUAUGUCAUUUUAUAUUUAUAAGUUACUUCAACUGCAAAUUUUACCAAACAUUGCAGAUUCAAUGAGCUAACUUUUCUGUUAUUAGCUAUAAACUAGCUUGUAAAUCAUCUGCUAUAAGUUCAUCUGCCAUAAGUUAACUUAUCAGGUAUCCACCAAUUUUACCAAACAGAGCCAAAGUCAAAUUGUUCAUUUAAUAAAGCUUAACUUGAAAAUUGUGGAACUGAGAGGCCUUGUUUUCAUAAGUGCUCUCAGACAAAAUCACAAAUGCUUAUGCUAGUAGAUAAGCUCGAAUAAGUCAAUCUAAAUAGACCUUAAAUCGUGUUGUCUUCACAGUUUUUGAUGUUGUGGAGAAUGAUGCUUAAGUGUGACUCAUUUAUUAUUGUGGUAGUCUAAGAGGGCUUCUCUAGUACAUAGUGACUAACUUAGGGUCCGUUUGUUAUAGAUUAAAAAAAAGACUUUUUCUUUGUAUUUUUCAAAAAUAUUUUUUUUGGAAAACUUACUUAAAAAUAGUAUAAGUUAUUUCAAACUUACUAACUUAGAUAUUCAUUGUUUGAGAUUUUAAAAGAUAAAAAUCCCAUAUCUUUUCAAAAAGUUAUCUUUCAAAAAACAAAUUAUGAAAAACUAUUUGAAAUAGCUUCUUAUUAAGAGUUUUUUUUUUUAAAUUUAUUAUCCACAAAAAGUCGUAGCAAAAGGAUGAAAUGCUUAAAAUGACUUUUUAAGAGAAGAUGUUUAAACCAAUUUCUCAUUAGAAGCUUAAACACUAUAAAAAUCUAUUUAAAAAAAAAAAAAAAAAAAAGACAAAUCUUAUUUUCUGUUAUGAAAUUGUUCUUUUCCUUUGCCCCAAAUUGUGGUAACUGGUAAUGGACAUCAUUAACCAGCGGUUUGCUUAUGUCAUGUUAACAAAAUUUUGUUUUCAGUUACAAUUUUAUUUUGCAUCUUUGAUGCCAAGAUUCAUGCUUUCUACUAUUGAACUGUUUGUAUUUGUUUAGAGUCUUCACAAUCACUAUUGAUCAUGAUACUGUUUUGUUUGAGCAUAAAUUUUAAUUUUGAUGGUUUUUCACUCCCCCAUACUUGAUUGAUAUGUAUAUCAAAAUCAAUGUCUUAACAAGUAUCAACCAUUUUGCUACCAACUGUUUUGUUUCUAUUACUUUUUUUUUUUCUUCAAUUUUGAUGCCCUGAUUCAUGCUAAUGGUUUAAUACCACAAUUCUUUGCUAUCAUUAUUAACCACAAAAUUUAUUUGCAUAUCUUCAACUUUACAUUCAUUUUAGAUUCUCUCUUGGUGUUAGGGUUUCAGGUUUUCAACAUCAUUUGUCCGAUGGAUAUCUGUCCGAUUAAGAAUCAAUGUCAGUCCAACCCGCCAUUCACGCCGGUGUUGAUUCCUGACGAACUCAUCGUCGAAAUCCUAUCGUUCCUUAGCGUGAAAACCAUCGCACGAUUCAAGUGCGUGAACAAGUCAUGGAACACUCUCAUCUCCAAUCCAACUUUCACCGAAAUGCACCUUAAGAAGUCAUCACAAAACCCUCACUUCAUACUCACAUCAACUCGGAAUCACCCUGUAAAGCAUGUCGUAUCCUUACCUGUGCAUUGUUUACUCGAGAAUGUGUCAGUCACUAUUGCCGGUGACACUUGCCACAAUUCGAAAGAAGAAAGUUGGCAGGUCGUUGGCUCCUGCAACGGAUUGCUCUGUUUGCUUUUCGAUUCUAUCUUUGGCAUACACACAAAGUACUUCUUCUGUUUAUGGAAUCCUGCAACGAGGACAAUGUCUGACGAAUUAGGUUUGUUUUUGGACUAUGAGUCUUUAUUGGGCCCUUUCAAGUUCAGUUUCGGUUGUGAUUAUUUAACUGGAACAUACAAGGUAGUGGCACUUAAUACAGAAAGUAAUGAAGAGAAAGAGACCGAGACCGAAGGUUUAUGGAGAAGCAAGGUGAGGGUUUUCAGUUUGGGUGAUUUUUGUUGGAGAGAGAUUCAAAGUUUUCCUUUGGUUCCUCUUAUCGGGAAUGAUGGUGUGCAUUUGAGUGGAACGGUUAAUUGGCUAGCUAUUCACGGUGACUAUGUUGGACUUUCUGAUGGAGAAACAGUUCAAGCUUCAAUUCCUCACGUUCAGCAAUUUGUGAUUGCUUCUCUUGAUCUUUCAACAGAGACGUACAACCGGCUUUUGCUUCCAAAGGAUUUUAAUGAGGUGCCAUGCGUUGAGCCAUCUCUUCGGGUUCUGAUGGAUUGUCUUUGCUUUUCGCAUGAUUUCAAGAGAACCGAAUUUGUUAUAUGGCUGAUGAAGGAGUUUGGAGUCCAAGAGUCUUGGACUCAGUUAUUUAGAUUUGAAUAUGUUAAUCUUCAAAUGCAGAACAUUCCGAUCAAAGACGACUGGGAUUUACUUGGAUACAUGACAUGUGAUACUCCAUUGUUACCUUUGUACCUUUCGAAGAAUGGAGAUACAUUGAUCUUGACAAAUGAUAAAGACAAAAGAGUAAUUAUCUAUAAUCGGAGAGAUAAGAGAGUAGAGAGAAUUGGAAUUUCCAACAAAAUAAGUUGGUUCUCCGCCAUUGAUUACAUUGAAAGCUUGGUUUCGACUCAUUGGAAGUAAGUUCUCUUCUAUCAUUUUCAAUUGUUUGAAUCUAUGUGUAAAUAUUUCAUAUGAUAGCUUGGGUUGAUUAUACUGGAGAAUGAUUAUUUAUUGAUCAUUGUUAUCGGUUUGGAAAUCUACUGGAUUAAAUGAAUUUGUUUUGGUUUAUAUUAAAUAUAGGCUAGAAGUUGAUUCUCACAAAAGAAUUUGUUCAAAACUCUUGUCUGCAUUUUCCAGAAAAAAGUUAAACACAGGUGAAACUCACAUUGAUCUGGACUUAAAAAACCCUUUAUAACACAAAGUUGAAGGUGGGAUCCUAGAAAGAGGUUGUUGAUGAGCAAAUGGGAGACUUAUACAGGUUCAUUGGACCUGUUGUUCAGUAGAUAGAUCAGAACAAGAAAAACCAUUUAAGUUGAAUAGACAAAGUAAUCCUAAAACGAUGUUUAGGGCUCUACUAUCUAAGUCUUUUAAGCUAUAUACUUGUGGCCAUUUGAUAUUUUUCUUGGUCUAAUUUUACCCCCCUGCAGUGCACACCCAUGCUAAUUUCUAAAGUGAGAAUUAUUUUAUCUCUAUACCUAGUUAUAGUGAUAUUGUAAUAAUUACGCAACCCCGGUAAAGCCUAUGGUACGGGCAUUGAUUCGUGGCCUCAUGGUUGAAGCUAAUUUCUUUCUUUGUUUACUUACGAAUAUAGAUGGACUUUAUCAUUAUGCAUUCAUUUUUUCCGUUUCUGUUUUUAUUUUAUGUUGUGUAUUGUUGGUUCACUUCUAGUCUAAUGGUUUUUAAAUUAUAGGUCAGGAGAUAUAGAGGAAGAGGGAGAUGAAGAGGGGGAUGAGGAGGAGGAGGAGGAAGCGCAUUCAUUAUGAAAGGACGAGGAUCAACCAAGAGACAUUACUCUUGGAGUUUUUGGAGUGGAUGAUUUGUGCUAGAUUAUGAUUAUGUAUUAUGAUAAAAAAAUAAAUAAUAAAAAAAGGAACAAAGUAUGAAAAUAGUAAUCUUCAUUGUCAUCUGGGUUUUUUUUAGGGUUUGAAAACAUGAACUUUGUAAAGCCAGCGCACUUGUGUUUUCAUUUUGACUCAAAAAUGCUAAUAUAUUUUUUGUUUCGAAGAUGUAUGAAGUGAAUCCAUUGAAUUGUUUCAGUAAGCUGAACUCUCAGUUGCUUCGCAGUUUUAAUAAUUUUCCUGUGGUAUGCAACUCAGCUUUUGUUCUUCCAGUUGAACCAUUCUUGAAUCUUGAAUAUGUAUGGACUUUUAAUUUUCACACAUUAUUUAUACAUAUACAUUAAUUUUAAAUCCAAAUAAUAGAAUGAACUGAUCUAAAUCCAAAUUACAAAUCAAAUCAUAUAACUACAACAAGAAAUGCAAAGUUUACCAAUACUUUCCUCCUAUGUUGGAACAAGAAAACUUGUUUGUUCCCCAUAUUCAAAACAACCAGAAAGAUUUACCAUAAUAAACCCCAUCAAAAUCAUGCCAAUGCAAACUCCACUAACCAAUGCACAACAAUUCUUCCCAAAUCCACUUUUUCCUCUUCCUUCUCUUUUCAAUUUCCUACACUUGUUUUCCUUUUCUUUUAAACAAGAUUCAAUUUUCAUACCAAAAUCUUCAAAAGAAUCCUCAGCAUCUUGAAAAUAAAAUGUUCCAAUUUUCCCACCACCAACAUUGCUCUUUUCACCAAUUUUCCCCACCCCAUUUCUUCUAAAUUUCUCAAUAGCCUUCUCACCAACAAUCAUACCAUUCUCAUCAAGUGUCUCAUCAUUCAAACAUGACUCAUUAAAAGAAGAUGUAGAAUCAGAAUUGGAUAUAGAAUCUUUGUCGAAUUCCGGAUUCGAAAAUGUUGUGAAAUGUGAAAUAGAAUCCUUGUCUCUAUCAUUAAAAGAAUUCUUCAAUGAUUUGAACCUUUGGUAACAUUGGUUCAAAUGUGGAUUUGAUGAUGGGUCAGAUGAUUCAAAUUCAGCAUGUAUAAGGUUUGACAUGAAUGCAAAUUUUUGUUCUAUUUCUUCUUGUGAAUUUGGAUCACGUAGUAUUCCUUCAGUGAGAAUUGAUUCGAGUUCUUUGAGUUUUGCUUUCAAAACCAAUUCAGACAUUUUUUGAGUGACACAAAAGUUUUUGUUUUUUGAAGUUUCUGUUACUUGUGUGUGUGUGUUUUUUGGAUUUCAAAAGUGGGUGUUGUGUUUGUGAAAACGGUCUAGAAGUUUUCUAUUUAUAAGUGGUAACCGUAGCACUUGCGUGACAUUGACCAACCACAAUAUCACAAGUGGUUUGCUUUUCUCUCUCACAAAUUUUUUUUGUUUGUCUGUACACUUGUGAUAUUGUGGUUGGUCAAUGUCACCCAAGUGCUAUCCGGUAACUGUAAUCUCUGCAUAUAUCUCAACAUGUAUAAAUAUCUCAUCUCUUGAACAGAUAGAAGUGGAGGACGGUUAUCAAAUUUCAAAAUUAAAGUAUAUGUGAGAGGGAGUAGACAUUGAAAAUGUGAAUGUCAUUAAAAUUCUUCAGGGACUAUAUGCACCUUUUUUUGCAAUUAGGGUUAUGCUAACAAGUAUGCAUAGAAGAAUCAUAAUAAGGUUGCAAUAAAAGUAGGGUUGAUAUUAAACACAAUCAUAGAUAAUCGACUAACAUAAGUAAUUUAGUAAUAGUCAGACACAUUUCAAACAAAUUUAUUGUUCCAAUUUUUUUUUUUUUAAUACGUAAUUCUUGUAAAACACUCUUCUUAUAAAAAGGGACAGAGGGAGUAUUUAUUAAAAUGCUUCUAUUCUUCAACAUUUUAAAUUUUUAAUUAUAGUUGCAUCUUGUUGACUUUGCAAUCAAAUCCUUGAAAAUGACCUACAUUUUAAUGAUUAAACUUGAAACGUGAUGGAUAUUAUAUUAUUGACGCAAAUCAUUGGUGAAUAUUAUAAUAUGCACCCAAUUUUUUUAUUCUUCAUGACUUUCAAUUUCAAUCCAUACUUUUACUAUGCACUCUGCUUUUUUAAAUAGAUAAAAUGGCAAACAAACUCGCACACAACUGCAAGGUUUUAAAGUAGAACUCGAAUGAAAGUGUCCAACUUAAGAACAUCGGCAUUUCUAGUUUAGAUAGGUCGUACGAACCAUCAAAAAGAAGAGAAUUGCAAUAAUGUCUGUAAUUAGUAUUUGUCAUCCAUGAGGUGUCAACUCAGUGGUAAUGGUAAGAGUUUGACCUUGUAACCGAUGAAAGAUAUUUGUAAAAUGAUCAUUAAUAUCACUUUAAUAAAUGAUUAUUGAAACAUAUGUCUCCAUCUUUCUCUUGCUUCAAAUUAUCAUGCCUUUGUUUUGUUUUUCAGUUUCAUUUUCGUAAGAUUUCUUGAACUCAAUAUUUCUAUGUUUGUUUGAUUAAGUUCUUAUUUUGUUAUUGAUAUUUGGGUUCUGAAUUAUGAUAAUAUAGUUUUUGACAGAAUGUCAAAAGGCUAAUCUGAAAUUUAGAGAGAAGGAGAAGACAAUUGAAAGAGGAGAGAGAAAGAGAAACUUGAAAGCUGAAAAUGACAAUUGAAACUCUUGUAGAGAAUAGGAAAACAAGGAAGAAGAAGGAAGUGGUUGAUGGAAAUGUACCUUUGUUACCUAAGGCACAAGAAACAAAUGUUGAUUAUCAUGAAUUUAAUAGAGCUUCAUUUUCAGGAGCUGUUUUCAAUUUGUCAACCACAGUCAUUGGUGCCGGAAUCAUGGGCUUGCCUGCUUGUGUCAGAAAGUUGGGGAUGGUACCUGGUCUUCUUGCCAUAAUCCUCACAGCAUUACUAACAGAAAAGUCAAUUGAGUUUGUGAUUAGGUUUUCGAGGGCAGGGAAUCUUUCUUCCUAUGGAAGUCUUAUGGGGGAUGCCUUUGGGAAAUACGGAAAAAUAUCGGUGGAGAUAUGUAUUGUAAUCGGUAACACUGGUAUGCUGAUUGUUUACAUGAUCAUUGUUGGUGAGACCAUAUUCUUAAUUCUAGUGUUUUAAAAUUAUAUAGAUGUAAUCCGAUUUGGUUUUGUGUGAUUCAGUUUCGUUUUGUUCGUAUUUGUAGGCGAUGUCAUUUCAGGAACAACUUCAAGUGGAAUUCACCAUCCUGGUAUACUUGAAGGAUGGUUUGGUGUCCAUUGGUGGACCGGGCGUACAUUUGUUCUUGUUUUUGCAACACUUGCUGUGUUUGCACCUUUGGUCAGCUUUAAGCGGAUUGGUUAGUGAUUUUGCUUUUCUUGUAUUAAUUGGUUGAAAAUCGAAACAUGUAGUUAGGAGUCACUUAUUAAACAAAUUAUUACUGAAACGGCCAUAGAUUUGACGACAAUGUUAGGAAGAUGACUCAAACGAUGGACGGUAAUGGUAUGGAUGAAAGUUUCCAUUUCAUUGUUUGUAUAUUGAACAAAUUGGUCUAUCUAUGAAAAUGUUUUGUUGCUAAGUUGUUUGGUUUGUUACCAAAUGAAAUAGAGUGCUUGCUACUUCACCACUUUUCAUAUUUUUACUUGACGGGGUUAGAUUUUUUUUUUUUUUUUUUUUAUAUUAAUGAAUUGGAUCGAAAUAUGGUUUGCGAUAGAACAUGAUAGCGUAAUUUGAUCCACGUAGCCGACCCCACUCAGUGGGAUAAGGCUUGGUUCUGUUGUUAUUAGUUUUAAGCCGACUGUUUGUGCUUUUGUACUGGUGCUCAACUGUAUCCAUGCAAUGCAACACUUCUAUGACAGAUUUAACUGCAUUCUCUGUGGUUAUUGCAGAUUCAUUGAGAUUCACGUCUGCAUUGUCAGUUGGAUUAGCAGUUGUUUUCCUUAUCAUAGCCGUGGGGAUCUCAACUAUCAAGAUUAUUAGCGGGGGCAUUGAGAUUCCCAGACUCUUCCCGAUCAUUACUGAUGUAGAUUCUGUUUUUGAUCUAUUCACGGUAGCUCCUGUGCUGAUGACUGCAUACAUCUGUCACUUUAAUGGUAAGAAAAUCUUUUUUCCUUAGAACCUGGUUGCGCUGUUUUAAUGUUUUUAUUACUCAUGAUCUAUGAAGCAUUGAGGCAGACACUGGACACGACACUGACACGUCGGUAAUAAUUUUAUCACAUGCAUAUAUCGGACACCGGCAACUCCUUCAAUUAGAAGUGUAGGUGCUACAAAGCUCAUAAUAGACCUGUGUAAUUAUAAGUUGGUUAUGUAUUUGCAUGAAGAAGGUUAAGGUCUUUUGACUACUUAGUCCAUAAGCAUAGUCUCAUUCCAUGUCCAUCUUAUUUGAAAAGAAACCAUAGUCAAUUUUCGAUGAACUAAAAAUUGAAAUCCAGAAUAUUUUGGUUAAUUUUUGGUCAUACACCAUUAGUCAGAAAUGUUAACAACAUGAUGAAUAAUAAUAAUACAUUUUGUAGUUUUUGCUUGGUUGCUUGAUGGGGUUGUAUUUGUGUGCUCUUUAUUUGCAGUUCAUAGCAUAGAUAAUGAACUGGAGGAUUCCUCACGGAUGAGCGGGGUUGUGUGUACUUCCCUUACUCUAUGCUCUUCGGUGUACUUACUGACAAGCUUCUUUGGGUUCCUUCUAUUUGGUGAAGGAGUUCUUGAUGAUGUUCUUGCCAAUUUUGAUACUGAUCUUGGAAUUCCCUUCGGUUCUGCGCUCAAUGAUGCUGUUCGUUUGAGCUAUGCUGCGCAUCUUGUCCUUGUAUUUCCUGUAAUUUUCUAUGCAUUGAGGGUCAACUUAGAUGGUCUAAUAUUUUCCUCAUCAAGAAGACCUUUGGUUGUUGAUAACUUCAGAUUUGCAUCAAUUACUAUUUCCCUUGUUGGCAUUAUCUUCCUCGGAGCAAAUUUCAUACCGAACAUUUGGGUUAUUUUCCAGUUCACUGGAGCAACAGGUGCUGUUUGUGUAGGAUUCGUUUUUCCAG